UGUGCAUUUAGGAAAACAAAACCAUUCUGUGUCAUAUAUGAGUCAGUAGGUGGCAGAAAGGAGAGGGGCUAUGUCCCCUCAAUGUUCUGACCUAUGAACACCAGAAUGAUUAGUAGCCUAAUAGU
This 125-nucleotide small nucleolar RNA is filed under the name Rattus norvegicus (Norway rat). RNAcentral's name for it is "Small nucleolar RNA SNORA17 (ENSRNOG00000066535.2, ENSRNOG00055032210.1, ENSRNOG00060026974.1, ENSRNOG00065027114.1)". It matches the Rfam family "Small nucleolar RNA SNORA17", at positions 16 to 132 of the family's 132-position model. Rfam says of the family: snoRNA ACA 17 belongs to the H/ACA family of snoRNAs and is predicted to guide pseudouridylation of the 28S rRNA at positions U4659 and U4598. It shares the same host gene together with ACA43. The record is from RNAcentral. Lineage: Eukaryota; Metazoa; Chordata; Mammalia; Rodentia; Muridae.